UAGGGAAUCUUCGGCAAUGGGGGCAACCCUGACCGAGCAACGCCGCGUGAGUGAAGAAGGUUUUCGGAUCGUAAAGCUCUGUUGUAAGAGAAGAACGUGUGUGAGAGUGGAAAGUUCACACAGUGACGGUAACUUACCAGAAAGGGACGGCUAACUACGUGCCAGCAGCCGCGGUAAUACGUAGGUCCCGAGCGUUGUCCGGAUUUAUUGGGCGUAAAGCGAGCGCAGGCGGUUUAAUAAGACUGAAGUGAAAGGCAGUGGCUUAACCAUUGUUAGCUUUGGAAGAUGUUAAACUAGAGGGCAGAAGGGGAGAGUGGAGUUCCAUGUGUAGCGGUGGGGUGCGUAGAUAUAUGGAGGAAGAACGGUGGCGAAAGCGGCUCUCUGGUGUGUAACUGACGCUGAGGCUCGAAAGAGUGGGGAGCAAACAGG
RNAcentral lists this ribosomal RNA (429 nucleotides) under bacterium. Its description in RNAcentral is "partial 16S ribosomal RNA". It matches the Rfam family "Bacterial small subunit ribosomal RNA", at positions 355 to 776 of the family's 1533-position model. The record is from RNAcentral.